CUCUUCCCAUGUCUCUGGGCAGCGACAAAAGGCAGGUCCCUGAAAGGACAGGGGCUUUUCCCGCAUGGCUCCCUGCUGGUUCUUUGUGGCCAUGCUGGCCCCUAUGGUGCUGGCUCUGGAACAGUCCCCAGACAGAGUGAUACGAGAAGGCCAGUCCGUGAGUCUGAGCUGUUCCAAGAAGAAAUCCGACAGCACUGCUAUGUACUGGUACAAGCUUCCUUUGGGGAAGGACUCCAGGCUGAUCCUGGUGGUCUCUGCAUUAGUCGGUGGUAAAGCAGAUGUGGAGGAGGAUCUCCGCAGCCGUUUGAAGAGCAGUGGGAUACAAGGAGACGCGAUGACCAUCUCGAUCGAGCAUGCCUUUCUGAAUGACUCUGGCACGUAUUACUGUGCUGAGAGUGAAACACAGUGGGUAGGCUGCUGAGGGAGCUGAGCACAAACCUGCUCCUGCACAAAGGGGACCUGCUUUCCUCCUCGUCAGAGCUGCACAAGGUGGGAUGACCCUUUCCACUCAUUACCUCCUCUGCUUCCUAGCCUGCCCUUCAUCCUCUUCUCAGGCUCUGUGAGACUUCUCACACUCUUUGCCUCUCUCUCUCCAUUUAUCUCUUAUUUCCAUUCAUCCUCUUCUCAGACUCUGUGAGUUUAUUUGUCCUGCUUUCUCUCCAUGCCACCCCACUCCUCCUUGCCUCUCUCUCCGUUUAGCUCUCAUUUCCAUUAUAGCCACUUCCCUCAACACUUCUUCCCCUCUCUGCCUUCCUUUCU
Non-coding RNA from Chroicocephalus ridibundus (black-headed gull), 759 nucleotides. Lineage: Eukaryota; Metazoa; Chordata; Aves; Charadriiformes; Laridae. The record is from the annotation of a RefSeq genome assembly.